GACGAACGCUAGCGGCGUGCUUAACACACGCAAGUCGAGCGGUAAGGCCCUUCGGGGUACACGAGCGGCGAACGGGUGAGUAACACGUGGGUGAUCUGCCUUGCACUUCGGGAUAAGCCUGGGAAACUGGGUCUAAUACCGGAUAUGACCCCGAAUCGCAUGGUUUGGGGUGGAAAGAUUUAUCGGUGCGAGAUGGGCCCGCGGCCUAUCAGCUUGUUGGUGAGGUAACGGCUCACCAAGGCGACGACGUGUAGCCGACCUGAGAGGGUGACCGGCCACACUGGGACUGAGACACGGCCCAGACCCCUACGGGAGGCAGCAGUGGGGAAUAUUGCACAAUGGGCGCAAGCCUGAUGCAGCGACGCCGCGUGCGGGAUGACGGCCUUCGGGUUGUAAACCGCUUUUGACAGGGACGAAGCGCAAGUGACUGUACCUGUAGAAUAAGGACCGGCCAACUACGUGCCAGCAGCCGCGGUAAUACGUAGGGUCCGAGCGUUGUCCGGAAUUACUGGGCGUAAAGAGCUUGUAGGCGGUUCGUCGCGUCGUUUGUGAAAACUUGGGGCUCAACCUUAAGCUUGCAGGCGAUACGGGCGGACUAGAGUACUUCAGGGGAGACUGGAAUUCCUGGUGUAGCGGUGAAAUGCGCAGAUAUCAGGAGGAACACCGGUGGCGAAGGCGGGUCUCUGGGAAGUAACUGACGCUGAGAAGCGAAAGCAUGGGUAGCAAACAGGAUUAGAUACCCUGGUAGUCCAUGCCGUAAACGGUGGGUACUAGGUGUGGGGCUCCUUCCACGGACUCCGUGCCGUAGCUAACGCAUUAAGUACCCCGCCUGGGGAGUACGGCCGCAAGGCUAAAACUCAAAUGAAUUGACGGGG
This 875-nucleotide ribosomal RNA is filed under the name uncultured Nocardia sp. RNAcentral's name for it is "bacterial SSU rRNA". It matches the Rfam family "Bacterial small subunit ribosomal RNA", at positions 28 to 918 of the family's 1533-position model. The record is from RNAcentral. Lineage: Bacteria; Bacillati; Actinomycetota; Actinomycetes; Mycobacteriales; Nocardiaceae.